This 1018-nucleotide ribosomal RNA is filed under the name Poaceicola dactylidis. RNAcentral's name for it is "SSU rRNA". It matches the Rfam family "Eukaryotic small subunit ribosomal RNA", at positions 75 to 1103 of the family's 1831-position model. The record is from RNAcentral. Lineage: Eukaryota; Fungi; Ascomycota; Dothideomycetes; Pleosporales; Phaeosphaeriaceae.
UAUACCGUGAAACUGCGAAUGGCUCAUUAAAUCAGUUAUCGUUUAUUUGAUAGUACCUUACUACUUGGAUAACCGUGGUAAUUCUAGAGCUAAUACAUGCUAAAAACCCCAACUUCGGGAGGGGUGUAUUUAUUAGAUAAAAAACCAACGCCCUUCGGGGCUUCUUGGUGAUUCAUGAUAACUUUACGGAUCGCAUGGCCUUGCGCCGGCGACGGUUCAUUCAAAUUUCUGCCCUAUCAACUUUCGAUGGUAAGGUAUUGGCUUACCAUGGUUUCAACGGGUAACGGGGAAUUAGGGUUCGAUUCCGGAGAGGGAGCCUGAGAAACGGCUACCACAUCCAAGGAAGGCAGCAGGCGCGCAAAUUACCCAAUCCCGACACGGGGAGGUAGUGACAAUAAAUACUGAUACAGGGCUCUUUUGGGUCUUGUAAUUGGAAUGAGUACAAUUUAAACCUCUUAACGAGGAACAAUUGGAGGGCAAGUCUGGUGCCAGCAGCCGCGGUAAUUCCAGCUCCAAUAGCGUAUAUUAAAGUUGUUGCAGUUAAAAAGCUCGUAGUUGAAACUUGGGUCUGGCUGGCAGGUCCGCCUCACCGCGUGUACUUGUCCGGCCGGGCCUUCCUUCUGGAGAACCUCAUGCCCUUCACUGGGCGUGUUGGGGACCAGGACUUUUACUUUGAAAAAAUUAGAGUGUUCAAAGCAGGCCUUUGCUCGAAUACGUUAGCAUGGAAUAAUAGAAUAGGACGUGCGGUCCUAUUUUGUUGGUUUCUAGGACCGCCGUAAUGAUUAAUAGGGACAGUCGGGGGCAUCAGUAUUCAAUUGUCAGAGGUGAAAUUCUUGGAUUUAUUGAAGACUAACUACUGCGAAAGCAUUUGCCAAGGAUGUUUUCAUUAAUCAGUGAACGAAAGUUAGGGGAUCGAAGACGAUCAGAUACCGUCGUAGUCUUAACCGUAAACUAUGCCGACUAGGGAUCGGGCGAUGUUCUUUUUCUGACUCGCUCGGCACCUUACGAGAAAUCAAAG